RNAcentral lists this ribosomal RNA (253 nucleotides) under uncultured bacterium. RNAcentral describes it as "partial 16S ribosomal RNA". It matches the Rfam family "Bacterial small subunit ribosomal RNA", at positions 524 to 776 of the family's 1533-position model. The record is from RNAcentral.
UACGUAGGUGGCAAGCGUUGUCCGGAAUUGUUGGGCGUAAAGCGCGCGCAGGCGGUCCUUUAAGUCUGAUGUGAAAGCCCACGGCUCAACCGUGGAGGGUCAUUGGAAACUGGGGGACUUGAGUGCAGGAGAGAAGAGUAGAAUUCCACGUGUAGCGGUGAAAUGCGUAGAGAUGUGGAGGAACACCAGUGGCGAAGGCGACUCUUUGGCCUGUAACUGACGCUGAGGCGCGAAAGCGUGGGGAGCAAACAGG